UAUAUCGAUAAUUCAAAAUGGCAGCAGUUAAUGCUACUUUCGAACGAAAGUCAUAUUAACCCUUAUGAGGUAGAGGUUAUUGUCCGGUAUCAAAGCAGGCAUAAAAAAAGCGCCCGCAGGCGCUUUAUAAAGAAA
Molecule: small RNA, 135 nt
Filed under: Klebsiella sp. RIT-PI-d
Lineage: Bacteria; Pseudomonadati; Pseudomonadota; Gammaproteobacteria; Enterobacterales; Enterobacteriaceae
Description: Enterobacteria sRNA STnc130
Rfam family: Enterobacteria sRNA STnc130
Source: Rfam by way of RNAcentral